RNAcentral lists this ribosomal RNA (321 nucleotides) under uncultured bacterium. RNAcentral describes it as "bacterial SSU rRNA". It matches the Rfam family "Bacterial small subunit ribosomal RNA", at positions 190 to 507 of the family's 1533-position model. The record is from RNAcentral.
UUGAGAAAUAAAGUAAAGCUUCGGCCGGUAUAAGAUGAGUGUGCGUCCCAUUAGAUUGUUGGUGAGGUAACGGCUCACCAAGUCGACGAUGGGUAGCUGGCGUUGAGAGCGCGACCAGCCACACUGGCACUGAGACACGGGCCAGACUCCUACGGGAGGCAGCAGUAGGGAAUAUUGGUCAAUGGACGAAAGUCUGAACCAGCCAUGCCGCGUGGAGGAUGACUGCCCUCUGGGUUGUAAACNCCUUUUAUAUGGGAAGAAACCUCUGGAUUCACUCCAGAGCUGACGGUAUCAUAUGAAUAAGCACCGGCUAACUCCGUG